The sequence is an RNase P RNA, 350 nucleotides long. It matches the Rfam family "Bacterial RNase P class A". From Rfam's summary of the family: Ribonuclease P (RNase P) is a ubiquitous endoribonuclease, found in archaea, bacteria and eukarya as well as chloroplasts and mitochondria. Its best characterised activity is the generation of mature 5'-ends of tRNAs by cleaving the 5'-leader elements of precursor-tRNAs. Cellular RNase Ps are ribonucleoproteins.
CGAGCUCGCCAGACAGUCGCCGCCGGUUUUCCGGGGGAGGAAAGUCCGGGCUCCGCAGGGCAAGGUGCCAGGUAACGCCUGGGCGGCGUGAGCCGACGGAAAGUGCAACAGAAAGUAAACCGCCUAAGUGCCUUCGGGCAACGGUAAGGGUGAAAUGGUGCGGUAAGAGCGCACCGCGUGGCUGGCAACAGUCCACGGCGAUGGUAAACCCCACCUGGAGCAAGACCAAAUAGGAAUCCAAUGGCGUGGCCCGCGCUGGAUUCGGGUAGGUUGCUUGAGGUCUGUGGUGACGCAGACCCUAGAUGAAUGACUGUCCAAGACAGAACCCGGCUUAUCGGCGAGCUCGCCUU